UGGCUCAGAACGAACGCUGGCGGCAGGCUUAAUACAUGCAAGUCGAGCGGGCGUAGCAAUACGUCAGCGGCAGACGGGUGAGUAACGCGUGGGAACGUGCCCUUUGGUUCGGAACAACACAGGGAAACUUGUGCUAAUACCGGAUAAGCCCUUACGGGGAAAGAUUUAUCGCCGAAGGAUCGGCCCGCGUCUGAUUAGCUAGUUGGUGAGGUAAUGGCUCACCAAGACGAAGAUCAGUAGCUGGUCUGAGAGGAUGAUCAGCCACACUGUUUCUGAGACACGAGACNGACUCCUACGGGAUCCUGCAGUGGGA
Molecule: ribosomal RNA, 313 nt
Filed under: uncultured Alphaproteobacteria bacterium
Lineage: Bacteria; Pseudomonadati; Pseudomonadota; Alphaproteobacteria
Description: bacterial SSU rRNA
Rfam family: Bacterial small subunit ribosomal RNA
Source: RNAcentral